This 371-nucleotide ribosomal RNA is filed under the name Oceanospirillaceae bacterium. Its description in RNAcentral is "bacterial SSU rRNA". It matches the Rfam family "Bacterial small subunit ribosomal RNA", at positions 1 to 374 of the family's 1533-position model. The record is from RNAcentral. Lineage: Bacteria; Pseudomonadati; Pseudomonadota; Gammaproteobacteria; Oceanospirillales; Oceanospirillaceae.
UUAAACUGAAGAGUUUGAUCAUGGCUCAGAUUGAACGCUGGCGGCAGGCUUAACACAUGCAAGUCGAGCGGUAACAGAGAUAGCUUGCUAUCUGCUGACGAGCGGCGGACGGGUGAGUAACGCGUAGGAAACUACCCAGUAGUGGGGGACAACAGUUGGAAACGACUGCUAAUACCGCAUACGCUCUACGGAGGAAAGGGGGCUUCGGCUCUCGCUAUUGGAUGUGCCUGCGUGAGAUUAGCUAGUUGGUGAGGUAAGAGCUCACCAAGGCGACGAUCUCUAGCUGGUCUGAGAGGAUGAUCAGCCACACUGGGACUGAGACACGGCCCAGACUCCUACGGGAGGCAGCAGUGGGGAAUAUUGGACAAUGG